This is a long non-coding RNA of Sinocyclocheilus grahami, 301 nucleotides long. RefSeq lists it as uncharacterized. The transcript has 3 exons. The record is from RefSeq and is a predicted model, not a curated record. NCBI's taxonomy places the organism in Eukaryota, Metazoa, Chordata, Actinopteri, Cypriniformes, Cyprinidae.
UGAAAACGCUUUUCAUUUUGACCCCAAUGAGCUGAGACUGCAGAGCGAGCAGGCCUUGCUGACUGCACGCAGUCCUCCAGUGUUAGGCCGGCACAGAGAUUACGAACACAUCCGUUACCCUCACGUUUAUGAUUCUUAAGCCGAAGCCAUCAAGACCUCAGCAUUCGUGGGAGGAGCUAAGAUGCUGCUGCCCGAGGGGAUCAGAAGAGGGAAUAAUAAGAUGUAUGAGGAGGUUGAGAUCCCCCCCAAUGAGCCCAUGCCCAUUGGCUUUGAGGAGAAACCUGUGUACAUCUCAGAGCUG